This 492-nucleotide ribosomal RNA is filed under the name uncultured bacterium. RNAcentral describes it as "partial 16S ribosomal RNA". It matches the Rfam family "Bacterial small subunit ribosomal RNA", at positions 29 to 507 of the family's 1533-position model. The record is from RNAcentral.
AGUGAGCGCUGGCGGUAGGCCUAACACAUGCAAGUCGAACGGCAGCACAGUAAGAGCUUGCUCUUACGGGUGGCGAGUGGCGGACGGGUGAGGAAUACAUCGGAAUCUACUUUUUCGUGGGGGAUAACGUAGGGAAACUUACGCUAAUACCGCAUACGACCUACGGGUGAAAGCAGGGGAUCUUCGGACCUUGCGCGAUUGAAUGAGCCGAUGUCGGAUUAGCUAGUUGGCGGGGUAAAGGCCCACCAAGGCGACGAUCCGUAGCUGGUCUGAGAGGAUGAUCAGCCACACUGGAACUGAGACACGGUCCAGACUCCUACGGGAGGCAGCAGUGGGGAAUGUUGGACAAUGGGCGCAAGCCUGAUCCAGCCAUACCGCGUGGGUGAAGAAGGCCUUCGGGUUGUAAAGCCCUUUUGUUGGGAAAGAAAAGCAGCAGGUUAAUACCCCGCUGUUCUGACGGUACCCAAAGAAUAAGCACCGGCUAACUUCGUG